GGAGAAGCUACAUAUCUGACCAGAGAAGGGACUUCAUUUACCGUCAGGUCGCAGGACUGAAAACUUCCAUUCAACAGCUGCCAGUGGCGUCUAAGCCGCCCUCCUACGCCGGGGCUACGGAACCAAUGAGGCUGAGGUGGAGGAGAGCCAAGAAGAGGCACUGGAAUUUAUAAUCAAACCUGAAGCGACUGGAGCCAAGUAGAGGAGAGUGGGAUGCUAUAAACCGAGCUGACACUAUCAGCAAAAGGACUCCAGCAGUUUCUAGAGAAACUACAACGUGCAGAGGGGGAAAAAGAUGGAACCCAUGAGCCAUACCUACCUCUACAACCUCUGCCAUUGCCUGCAGCUCCAGAAUCUUCACUUCCCUGGCUGGGCCCAGGGAAGUUUUGUGCUUAAUUUGGGACAACAGAACAGAGGAAAAAAGGACUUUUAGGAUCAGUGGGUCCAUUUCUGCAAAAUGGCAGAGGAACUAUUGAUACAGUUGCAUUGGAUAUGUAAAUCAUUGGGAUUCCCAGCUGAGGGAGCCAGUGACCUAAUUCUGCUCAGUUCUAAUGCAACACGGGAGUGAAUUCAGAAUAUCUCGGUACUGGCCUUGCUGGGAUUGCAGAACCCCAAAGUCAUUUUCCUGAUGCAGAGAUGCCACCAGAAUCAAACAGGCCACAAGUUUGCUAACCUGAAGGUCAAUCCUCUGUAAGAACUCCUGCAGAGUCUUGGGUUUUUCCUUUCCACUCCUUCGGUGUGCCUUUAUUUUCUUGGGGGCUGCUUCCUCUUCUGAGAUGACAUCCACAUAAAUAAAUUUGAAGUUUCCCACCUUAUUGUUCAGCAUUCCUGUCCACAUCCCCAUUGG
This is a long non-coding RNA of Leopardus geoffroyi (Geoffroy's cat), 847 nucleotides long. RefSeq lists it as uncharacterized. Lineage: Eukaryota; Metazoa; Chordata; Mammalia; Carnivora; Felidae. The record is from RefSeq and is a predicted model, not a curated record. The transcript is spliced from 6 exons.